RNAcentral lists this ribosomal RNA (497 nucleotides) under uncultured bacterium. RNAcentral's name for it is "partial 16S ribosomal RNA". It matches the Rfam family "Bacterial small subunit ribosomal RNA", at positions 28 to 507 of the family's 1533-position model. The record is from RNAcentral.
GAUGAACGCUGGCGGCGUGCCUAAUACAUGCGAGUCGAGCGAACAGACGAGGAGCUUGCUCCUCUGACGUUAGCGGCGGACGGGUGAGUAACACGUGGAUAACCUACCUAUAAGACUGGGAUAACUUCGGGAAACCGGAGCUAAUACCGGAUAAUAUAUUGAACCGCAUGGUUCAAUAGUGAAAGACGGUUUUGCUGUCACUUAUAGAUGGAUCCGCGCCGCAUUAGCUAGUUGGUAAGGUAACGGCUUACCAAGGCAACGAUGCGUAGCCGACCUGAGAGGGUGAUCUGCCACACUGGAACUGAGACACGGUCCAGACUCCUACGGGAGGCAGCAGUAGGGAAUCUUCCGCAAUGGGCGAAAGCUUGACGGAGCAACGCCGCGUGAGUGAUGAAGGUCUUCGGAUCGUAAAACUCUGUUAUUAGGGAAGAACAAAUGUGUAAGUAACUAUGCACGUCUUGACGGUACCUAAUCAGAAAGCCACGGCUAACUACGUG